RNAcentral lists this ribosomal RNA (445 nucleotides) under uncultured bacterium. RNAcentral's name for it is "partial 16S ribosomal RNA". It matches the Rfam family "Bacterial small subunit ribosomal RNA", at positions 354 to 796 of the family's 1533-position model. The record is from RNAcentral.
GUGAGGAAUAUUGGUCAAUGGACGAGAGUCUGAACCAGCCAAGUAGCGUGAAGGAUGACUGCCCUAUGGGUUGUAAACUUCUUUUAUAAGGGAAUAAAGUGAGGGACGUGUCCCUUUUUGUAUGUACCUUAUGAAUAAGGAUCGGCUAACUCCGUGCCAGCAGCCGCGGUAAUACGGAGGAUCCGAGCGUUAUCCGGAUUUAUUGGGUUUAAAGGGAGCGUAGGUUGACGUAUAAGUCAGCUGUGAAAGUUUACGGCUCAACCGUGAAAUUGCAGUUGAUACUGUAUGUCUUGAGUGUACAAGAGGUGGGCGGAAUUCGUGGUGUAGCGGUGAAAUGCUUAGAUAUCACGAAGAACUCCAAUUGCGAAGGCAGCUCACUGGGGUACAACUGACACUGAGGCUCGAAAGUGUGGGUAUCAAACAGGAUUAGAAACCCCUGUAGUCC